This 274-nucleotide ribosomal RNA is filed under the name uncultured bacterium. Its description in RNAcentral is "partial 16S ribosomal RNA". It matches the Rfam family "Bacterial small subunit ribosomal RNA", at positions 523 to 796 of the family's 1533-position model. The record is from RNAcentral.
AUACGGAGGGGGCUAGCGUUGUUCGGAAUUACUGGGCGUAAAGCGCGCGCAGGCGGGCUGAUAAGUUGGAUGUGAAAGCCUACGGCUCAACCGUAGAACUGCAUCCAAAACUGUCAGUCUAGAGUCUGGGAGGGGAAGAUGGAAUUAGUUGUGUAGGGGUAAAAUCCGUAGAGAUAACUAGGAAUACCAAAAGCGAAGGCGAUCUUCUGGAACAGUACUGACGCUGUGGCGCGAAAGCGUGGGGAGCAAACAGGAUUAGAAACCCUAGUAGUCC